Molecule: ribosomal RNA, 250 nt
Filed under: uncultured bacterium
Lineage: Bacteria
Description: partial 16S ribosomal RNA
Rfam family: Bacterial small subunit ribosomal RNA
Source: RNAcentral
GACAGAGGAUGCAAGCGUUGUCCGGAUUUAUUGGGUUUAAAGGGUGCGUAGGCGGCCUAUUAAGUCAGUGCUGAAAUAUCCCGGCUUAACCGGGAGGGUGGCAUUGAUACUGAUGGGCUUGAGUAGAGUUGAGGUUGGCGGAAUUGACGGUGUAGCGGUGAAAUGCUUAGAUAUCGUCAAGAACACCUAUUGCGAAGGCAGCUAACUAAGCUCAAACUGACGCUGAGGCACGAAAGUGUGGGGAUCAAAC